GGCUGGUCCGAAGGCAGUGAGUUAUCUCACUUGAUUGUUCACAGUCAGUUACACAUUUAACUCCUUGUUCUACUACUUCCCCCCAGCCCCACUACUGCACUUGACUAGAAAA
This 112-nucleotide Y RNA is filed under the name Propithecus coquereli (Coquerel's sifaka). RNAcentral describes it as "Y RNA (ENSPCOG00000004089.1)". It matches the Rfam family "Y RNA". Rfam says of the family: Y RNAs are components of the Ro ribonucleoprotein particle (Ro RNP), in association with Ro60 and La proteins. The Y RNAs and Ro60 and La proteins are well conserved, but the function of the Ro RNP is not known. Lineage: Eukaryota; Metazoa; Chordata; Mammalia; Primates; Indriidae. The record is from Rfam by way of RNAcentral.